AAAUUGAAGAGUUUGAUCAUGGCUCAGAUUGAACGCUGGCGGCAGGCCUAACACAUGCAAGUCGAACGGUAACAGGAAGCAGCUUGCUGCUUCGCUGACGAGUGGCGGACGGGGGAGUAAUGUCUGGGAAACUGCCUGAUGGAGGGGGAUAACUACUGGAAACGGUAGCUAAAACCGCAUAACGUCGCAAGACCAAAGAGGGGGACCUUCGGGCCUC
This 217-nucleotide ribosomal RNA is filed under the name Escherichia coli. RNAcentral's name for it is "partial 16S ribosomal RNA". It matches the Rfam family "Bacterial small subunit ribosomal RNA", at positions 1 to 216 of the family's 1533-position model. The record is from RNAcentral. Lineage: Bacteria; Pseudomonadati; Pseudomonadota; Gammaproteobacteria; Enterobacterales; Enterobacteriaceae.